This is a long non-coding RNA of Lycium barbarum (goji berry), 1470 nucleotides long. RefSeq lists it as uncharacterized. Lineage: Eukaryota; Viridiplantae; Streptophyta; Magnoliopsida; Solanales; Solanaceae. The transcript has 3 exons. The record is from RefSeq and is a predicted model, not a curated record.
UCACGGCACACAAAAUCCGUCCAGCCUGCCCAGAUAUGUUGUUCUUCAAUUCUUAACCGCUUUGUUUUACUUCUGACACAUUAAUUUUAAAUUUUAAUGUAGAUUUCCUAUGACUUCUUACGUUUGUUACAAUUAGACUCCCAUGUCAAUUUUCAUGAGACUUCUCAGUGUUAGAUAAAUUGUGUACCUUCGGAUAUUUAUCGCAAGCAGUAAACUUCUUCUACUCGAUUGAUUUUAAUUUUUUUGCCUUGGAUGUCAUUGAAACUGGAAACUUAAAGUUUUGGUGUGAAACCGCGCGGCUACUGGGCAGAUUCUUUCUCCUUUGUUAAUUGGAGAAAUUUUUUCAACGGAAGUUGAAACUUUUCUAUGAUUUAAUUGAAGAAUUUUUGCAAAGACGUGUUACGUCCCGUAUUUUUAUACAUUGGAACAACCCGGAUUAAAUAUGAUAAUUUAAGGCCAAGAUUAUUCCGGGAUUUGAAGUCGGGACUUUUGACCAUUUGAUUUUAUUUUGAGACACAAAUUAUAUAUGAAAUUGAUGGCAUUGAACACUUAGGGAAAAUUGGGACCACAAUUCAUAAAAUUGGGAUUAAAAAUCUUGUGCAAAAAGGGCCAUGUGGCCGUGUGAAUUUAAAGGGGUCCCCACAUUGUGUGGCCAAAUUUAAUUGGUCCAACACAUGUGUGGACCAUAGGGACAUGGAGAUAUUUUAGUGGGAACUUAAAAAUAUGACCUCUAAGUCAUUUCUCUUCAUUUCUACACUUAGAAUAAAAAUUAAGAAGGAGGAGAACAACAACUCCAACCUCACGGCUAAGAGGAGAGAAAAACAAGAUCAUUUUUUUGCUUUCCAAAAAUCAAUUCCUUGGUGUUAACCCACUAUAUUGAAGUCCCUAAGUAGCGUGGAAGAGUUGUUUGGGCCAUCCAACCACUAGUUGUGCCCAAUUGCAAACCCUAACUAUUGAAGGAAGUGAAGAACAAAGACCUUGGGGAGCCCGAGAGGUAAAUUUGGAGUAGCUUUAGAUUGGCUAGCUUGGGAGUGCGUUCGAGGUACAGACGCACAGUUCGGUGAUCCCCCAGUUUAGGAUAUCCCCUUCAGCUGUUUGGAGUGCUCUUCUCAUUUCAGAGCAUACACUUUUGGUAUAUACUUUUGUUCGUUAUGUAUGUAUAUAUAUUUGUUCCGGGUACGGCGGGGCCCUGUUCCGCCAUAUGAUUCGUUUGGUCUGUUUAGAGGUCUGUAGACUUAUUUGUGGGUGUGUGUGCCUACUACUGUACAGUUGUGUCCAUAUGAUCUCUUUCGUUAUGGCAGCCUUGUCGGCUCGCACAUGUAUAUGUUGUUCUGUUGGCCCUGUGUGGCCUUUGUUGGUAUUUGCUGUGUACAGGGUUAUUUUGGAUAAUCCGAAAAACAAAGGAAACUCUGUCGAAAUUUUCUUUGAAAAUCUUAUAAAUUUGAAACACCGCCUUGUCGGCUUCUGUUA